This 1869-nucleotide long non-coding RNA is filed under the name Homo sapiens (human). RNAcentral's name for it is "HSALNT0391535". The record is from RNAcentral. Lineage: Eukaryota; Metazoa; Chordata; Mammalia; Primates; Hominidae.
GGAAACCACUGGAUUUAUUAAUGAGAAAAUGAAGGCUUGUGUUUAAGCCUCGUCUCUGAGCCCAUGGAACAGACUUACGGCGUAUGACCUCAUCGGAGACUUGUACAUGGGGCCAACCCCCAUUUUCCCACAGGAAACCCACACUCUAAUUAAGGGCUGACCCUGAACUUGAAUCUGAGUCUUCUCUUUCUUCAACAGAGAGCCAUCUCUCCAGCCCAGCUGGCAAGGAGACAGGUGAUGUUACAGGAAAAAAUACACAGCUUGUGCCCUUGGAAUUACCAGAGUUCAAAGCCUGUUCAGCAUCUACCCACCAUGUGACCCGGGUCGAAUUCUUCAGUUUCUCUAAGCCCAUUUUCUCAUCUGUAAGAUGGGGAAGUGUAAUCAGUUCUGAACCCACAUAUACCUCACUGGGCUUGAACAGGCCUGAGCAGGCAUGUGGGGCUUUACUAGCUAGCCAUCCUUUCUGCCGCUCUCCCUCAUUCUCCUUCAAGCCCCCCAAAGUCCUUGGUGGAGGAGGAAGUGGAGACAGAACGUUUGGUGUUGGGUGAGGUACGUGAGGAGGCUGAUUUCAGAACCUCCAGGAAACAAAGCUUUAGUGUUCCGAGGGCAGUGCCCGCCUGUGCCUCCUCCUCACAGGGGGUAGUAGGAGUGGGGUGGGGCCGAGGCAUUUCCCAGCACAGCUCAAUCACAUCUCCUGCGCCUGCCCUUGUGACCUGCUCACUGGAAAGGAAGAAAUGACCGAGGGAGAAGGGAGGGCAUUUGAGGGGAGAAGAAGAGGAUGGAGAAAAAAACUGGAUCAUCUCGUGACAUGGAAAGAAAGGUCUGAGCUCUGACGAUCCCCUCACGUGAUUAUAGGCAUGAGGACUCACUCUUCGAAUUGUUUGAAAAUUGAAUGGACUGGCUCACACCUUCUGAAAUUUCUUGGAAGCUCUGGAGUAACUAUUCCACUAAAGAACAGCGUGUUUUUGGCUGAAAUCUGUGACUGUUUGUUUUUGAGUUAUUUUAAUCUCUGUGUCAAGCAUGAAAACCUCAGCAGCCUGGGAUUUAUAAUUAGAUCCCACUGGCAUGCCCUCUCACCUCUCAAACAUGCCACAGUGCUUUGGCUCUCUCCUUGUGCAAACCUCCCUUUGAUAUUUUUGGAUAUCGAUACCAAGUGUAUCUGCAUAUUUUAACCAACUGAUAUGCAUAUCCUGUGAUCUGAGGCAUUCGCUCAAUGUGGGGCAUCAGGCCAGCUGUGAACUUCCUUUAAAAUUUAUUUUGUGUCAAAUGAUUCCCUAAUGCUAUAGCUCCCUUGAACUGCUAGAUUUAUGAAAAUUCUGCACAACACAUAGCUCAGAGAAAAAAAAAAAAGAGUGUUGCAAGACCAGAUAUAGGAUAUCAUUUGAUUUGUUUAAAACACUCUGUCCAGGGGGUUUUGACUUGCUAAUUUAAAAAUAAUUCUAAAAUUAGGUACAGUUGACCCUUAGUAUCCAUGGGGGAUUGGUUCCAGGAUGCCCUGUGGAUACCAGAAUCCAAGGAUGCUCAAGUUCCUGACAUAAAUGGCUUAGUGUUUGCAUAUAACCUACUCCCCUCUUCCUAUAUACUUUAAAUAAUCUCUAGAUUACUUAUAAUGCCUAACACAACGCCUGUGCAUCACUUCAUUCAUGUGGAUUCAAUGUAGUACUUGGUGUGAAGAAAAUUUAAGUCUUGCUUUUUGGAACUUUGUGGAUUUUUUUUUCUGGAAUGUUUUUGAUCUGCAGUUGGUUGAAUCCACAGGUGCAGAACUAUGGACACAGGGGGCUGACUAUGUAUAUUUAUAUCCACUUGCAAAAUUAAGAAUAAAAAUAAUGUGCAUCAGCAGGUGCAGAUUCUGAUGCUCGGUGGACAGUA